Long non-coding RNA from Camelina sativa (false flax), 1622 nucleotides. RefSeq lists it as uncharacterized. Lineage: Eukaryota; Viridiplantae; Streptophyta; Magnoliopsida; Brassicales; Brassicaceae. The record is from RefSeq and is a predicted model, not a curated record.
AUUUCACCCUCUUUUAAUUUACAAUGCCUAUUCUACCCUUAUGUCUAUUUUGUGAAUCCUUCUUUUUCUCAGAUCUCACCAUCACCGAUUUAAUCUUAUUCUCAGAUGUUGCCGUCGUCAAUCUCCCUGUCGUUAAAAUCGGGAACUCGCCAUCACCGUUUCUUUCUUUCUUUCUUUAUUUCUUCUUCUCCUUCUUAGAUCUAAAAACGUCGUUGUGAUUUGUCGAUCUCAUCGUUAUUAAAAUCGAGCAAAUCGUUACUCGUCGUUGCUAGAAUUGGGAAGCGAUCAUGUUUAGCUUCGUGUUUAUCAUAUGAUGGUUUGUAAAUAUUGUCCUCCUCAGACUUAUAGGUGAUAGAUCUUGCUGGAAUUUGUUGAAUUUUCUGGGAACUGAAUUGGUUGUUGGAAGUACUUUGAUUGCUUAAUUUUUGUAAUUUGUUGAUUAUGUUUCUAAUAUUACCAAUCUUUUAUGUUCACUGGAAACUGGAAAGUAAGUUUUAUUCAUGAACUGUUAGUGUGUAUAGAUUGAGAAGUCCAUUGAUAGUAUUUGAUCCUAAAUUAUUUAUUCCUCUAUUUCCUAUAAUAAACACAAAAGCGAGAAUCCACAUGCGUCUUUGUGUAUGUGUGUUGAAAAACACACUUCUUCUUGAUAAAUAUAAGGUACGUUAAGGAAGCCCAAGUGAGGAAUAUGCUCAAGGUGAUUCAUUGAUGGGAAUAUCAACUUCACAUUUGGCCAUUACAAAGAAGCUAUAUAUGAAACAGGGAUGAGUGAAGGCCAGACUUGCAGUGGAGUUGACACGUGGAGGUGAAAAGAAAAAAACAGAGCUAAGAAAUGGAGUAAUGGAGUGCAAGGAGAAGAGCAUGUUUUGAAUUGUGGUGUUGUUUUUAAUAUAUAAUCAAAACUAGCUUUCAGUUAUUGGUUUAACGCUAUUUCUAUAUAAUCUGGUUUUGUUUCUUGUUUUGUCGAGCAGUUCUUAAGAGUUAAGACUAAUUGAAGUUAUGUAUUAACACAAGUUUUGUUGAGAGUAAGGCCUUGAAGUGUUCAUGAAUGGAUGCGUUAGGAAUCCUUAUUUCUGAUAAUCACUUUGUGCAAAAUUUGCUUUCUUUGCAAGCCCUCUUUUGCUUUUGUGGCAUCUCGAUCUGCUUCCAUUGUGUACUUAAAGAUUUGCAUUCUAUAUGAUUGUUGAAAUGCCUCAUAUGAUGGUCAUGUUUGUAUUCUUAAGCUUACACUUAUUGUCGCUUUAGUAUAAAUUGGAUUGGUGGGAGAAGAGACUUAAUGAGAUGUCAGAAAAGAAAGAGGAUGAGGAAUUGACACUACAAAAAUUGGAGGAAGAGUUGAAAGAAAUUUGAGCUGAAGUGCUUAGAAUUGGAACCUCUAGUGGAGGAAGAGAGAGAAGUUUUCUGGCUGCAAAAGCUCAUCUCUUCUCUGAUGAGAGUGGAAUUGACGAAGGUGAGGAUCUAAGAGCUGCAAUCAUGAGAGAGCUUAAAGAGGAACUGCAGUUCAUGAUAAUACUUGCACGUAUAUUUGUAAAAGACAGAACAAGUAUUUGUGUGUUGUGUGUAUUCGUUGAACUUAAAAUAUUAACUGUAGAACGUAAUUACAUUAUGAGAGAGAACAUUCCUUC